Molecule: ribosomal RNA, 526 nt
Filed under: uncultured bacterium
Lineage: Bacteria
Description: bacterial SSU rRNA
Rfam family: Bacterial small subunit ribosomal RNA
Source: RNAcentral
UAGUCCACGCCGUAAACGAUGAAUACUAGGUGUCGGGGGUCGAACCUCGGUGCCGCAGUUAACGCAAUAAGCAUUCCACCUGGGGAGUACGAUCGCAAGAUUGAAACUCAAAGGAAUUGACGGGGCCCGCACAAGCGGUGGAGCAUGUGGUUUAAUUCGAAGCAACGCGAAGAACCUUACCAAUUCUUGACAUCCUUCUGACCGGUCCUUAAUCGGACCUUUCCUUCGGGACAGAAGUGACAGGUGGUGCAUGGUUGUCGUCAGCUCGUGUCGUGAGAUGUUGGGUUAAGUCCCGCAACGAGCGCAACCCUUAUCUUUAGUAGCCAGCAUUUCGGAUGGGAACUCUAGAGAGACUGCCGGGGACAACUCGGAGGAAGGUGGGGAUGACGUCAAAUCAUCAUGCCCCUUAUGAAUUGGGGCUACACACGUGCUACAAUGGCGGGAUACAAAGGGGAAGCGAAAGGGUGACCUGAAGCAAACCUCAUAAAGUCCGUCCAGUUCGGGAUUGUAGUCUGCAACUCGACUA